UACGGGGGGGGCAAGCGUUGUUCGGAAUUACUGGGCGUAAAGGGCUCGUAGGCGGCCAACUAAGUCAUACGUGAAAUCCCUCGGCUUAACCGGGGAACUGCGUCUGAUACUGGAUGGCUUGAGUUCGGGAGAGGGAUGCGGAAUUCCAGGUGUAGCGGUGAAAUGCGUAGAUAUCUGGAGGAACACCGGUGGCGAAGGCGGCAUCCUGGACCGAUACUGACGCUGAUGAGCGAAAGCCAGGGGAGCAAACGGG
This 253-nucleotide ribosomal RNA is filed under the name uncultured bacterium. RNAcentral's name for it is "partial 16S ribosomal RNA". It matches the Rfam family "Bacterial small subunit ribosomal RNA", at positions 524 to 776 of the family's 1533-position model. The record is from RNAcentral.